This is a long non-coding RNA of Pogona vitticeps (central bearded dragon), 1243 nucleotides long. RefSeq lists it as uncharacterized. The record is from RefSeq and is a predicted model, not a curated record. Lineage: Eukaryota; Metazoa; Chordata; Lepidosauria; Squamata; Agamidae.
AACAGACACUUGAUCAGUUAGGAGUAGUAGAGGUCCUCUUCCCAGUGACUAGAAAAUAUACUUCCUCAGCCAACUUAGUCACCAUGGCAGCUGUCUUAUUGACUUGCGAGGUGCUUCAAGGCUGCUCAGUCACAGAAGUAUUUGAGGUAUAGGAGUGUAACCCCUGUGGAGUAUUUGCUUCAAGCCAUUAAUUAGGUGGAGAAAUCUGAGGAAGGGGCUAUGAUUCAAGAUUUGAGUUGAUAAAGAGCAGGAUUGAUGGCGCUGCAGGAGCUGCUGUUCCCCUGGAGGAUAAGGACCUUCCCAUCUUGGUUCAGUGGGACUCCAUCACAAAGAGCACAUAUAGAUGCUUCCAGGCGCUUCUCACCUUUUCUCGUACUUCCACCUUUGGCUCAGUGAAGAGGAGAGAUACUUCCUAGGUCAUUGAGCCUGAAAGCAGGAUGGAUGAUCACCCAUGGUUGUCUUGAACCUCCUGUCUGGCUAUCAACAGCUACCAUUGGACCAGUGGGCAUGCGGUCAGGGGAAUGCGUGCAGGAUGGCUGUGAUUCUGUAGCAAAUCAACAAGUAUUUCCCUGUCUUGGCUGGCACCCAUGAAAAACCAAGAAGGGGUUUAGCCCCCACCGCCCACCAAUGCACCCUUCCAUAUCCCUUUUCCUACAUGUCAGAAGCUUUCUCUUUCUUCAGUGAACGGCCACUGGUUUCUUGGCACCUUGAUGAGUGUACGGGCAGCUGUGAAGUGCAUAGCCUUUGCUGGCUUAAGAGCUCUAGGUGACCUGCCCAAUAGCUCUACAGAUGAUAUACUGAUACAAUUAUUCUUGUGAAAAAUUACUUUCCUUCAAAUAAUGACAGGAGUCCAGUAAUGGGUUGAACUCCUUGUUUGGAGAUGCUUGCUCCCUUCCCCUUCUAGCCACUUCUAAUUUUGAGAAAACUUAAUAAGGUCCAAAGGUUUGACUCCCCACAAAGGAUAUCGUCUUCUUAAAUAUACUGAUGUAGUGUUACAAUAAGAUCUAAGCAAGUAAAAGAGCAAAACUAACUAUUGUUUUUAAGGAGAUUAUUCCCAUUGACUCCUCUUAUGUGAAGCUGCUGCUGAAUGCUGUGGUGAUUAUAUAUUAGACCUACAGCUGGGCAGAACGAAGGCUGGUGGCAGGAGAGAUUCAGAGUGUUUUAGCAGUAGAAGGUGAAAAUACAAGAAUUCAACAAGGCACAUGAAGCCCAGAAGCUUUCCAACUCACUUUGUACCUGAAUA